This 253-nucleotide ribosomal RNA is filed under the name uncultured bacterium. RNAcentral describes it as "partial 16S ribosomal RNA". It matches the Rfam family "Bacterial small subunit ribosomal RNA", at positions 524 to 776 of the family's 1533-position model. RNAcentral also lists the same sequence under 1 other name. The record is from RNAcentral.
UACAGAGGUCUCAAGCGUUGUUCGGAUUCAUUGGGCGUAAAGGGUGCGUAGGCGGCGCGGUAAGUCGGGUGUGAAAUCUCGGGGCUUAACUCCGAAACUGCAUUCGAUACUGCCGUGCUUGAGGACUGGAGAGGAGACUGGAAUUUACGGUGUAGCGGUGAAAUGCGUAGAUAUCUGCAGGAACACCCGUGGCGAAAGCGGCGCGCUGGACCACUACUGACGCUGAGGAACGAAAGCUAGGGGAGCAAACAGG